Molecule: ribosomal RNA, 859 nt
Filed under: uncultured bacterium
Lineage: Bacteria
Description: bacterial SSU rRNA
Rfam family: Bacterial small subunit ribosomal RNA
Source: RNAcentral
AAUGAACGCUGGCGGCAUGCCUAACACAUGCAAGUCGAACGAAGGCCCGAUUUCGGUUGGGUCCUUAGUGGCGCACGGGUGCGUAACGCGUGGGAAUCUGCCCCUUGGUUCGGAAUAACAGUUAGAAAUGACUGCUAAUACCAGAUGAUGACGUAAGUCCAAAGAUUUAUCGCCGAGGGAUGAGCCCGCGUAGGAUUAGCUAGUUGGUGUGGUAAGAGCGCACCAAGGCGACGAUCCUUAGCUGGUCUGAGAGGAUGAUCAGCCACACUGGGACUGAGACACAGCCCAGACUCCUACGGGAGGCAGCAGUGGGGAAUAUUGGACAAUGGGCGAAAGCCUGAUCCAGCAAUGCCGCGUGAGUGAUGAAGGCCUUAGGGUUGUAAAGCUCUUUUACCCGGGAUGAUAAUGACAGUACCGGGAGAAUAAGCUCCGGCUAACUCCGUGCCAGCAGCCGCGGUAAUACGGAGGGAGCUAGCGUUAUUCGGAAUUACUGGGCGUAAAGCGCACGUAGGCGGCUUUGUAAGUAAGAGGUGAAAGCCCAGAGCUCAACUCUGGAAUUGCCUUUUAGACUGCAUCGCUUGAAUCAUGGAGAGGUCAGUGGAAUUCCGAGUGUAGAGGUGAAAUUCGUAGAUAUUCGGAAGAACACCAGUGGCGAAGGCGGCUGACUGGACAUGUAUUGACGCUGAGGUGCGAAAGCGUGGGGAGCAAACAGGAUUAGAUACCCUGAUAGUCCACGCCGUAAACGAUGAUAACUAGCUGUCCGGGGACUUGGUCCUUGGGUGGCGCAGCUAACGCAUUAAGUUAUCCGCCUGGGGAGUACGGCCGCAAGGUUAAACUCAAAUGAAUUGACGGGGGCCUG